Molecule: ribosomal RNA, 484 nt
Filed under: uncultured bacterium
Lineage: Bacteria
Description: partial 16S ribosomal RNA
Rfam family: Bacterial small subunit ribosomal RNA
Source: RNAcentral
AUUGAACGCUGGCGGCAGACCUAACACAUGCAAGUCGAGCGGAUGAAGGGAGCUUGCUCCUGGAUUCAGCGGCGGACGGGUGAGUAAUGCCUAGGAAUCUGCCUGGUAGUGGGGGAUAACGUCCGGAAACGGGCGCUAAUGCCGCAUACGUCCUGAGGGAGAAAGUGGGGGAUCUUCGGACCUCACGCUAUCAGAUGAGCCUAGGUCGGAUUAGCUAGUUGGUGGGGUAAAGGCCUACCAAGGCGACGAUCCGUAACUGGUCUGAGAGGAUGAUCAGUCACACUGGAACUGAGACACGGUCCAGACUCCUACGGGAGGCAGCAGUGGGGAAUAUUGGACAAUGGGCGAAAGCCUGAUCCAGCCAUGCCGCGUGUGUGAAGAAGGUCUUCGGAUUGUAAAGCACUUUAAGUUGGGAGGAAGGGCAGUAAGUUAAUACCUUGCUGUUUUGACGUUACCAACAGAAUAAGCACCGGCUAACUUCGUG